Molecule: long non-coding RNA, 1041 nt
Organism: Gallus gallus (chicken)
Lineage: Eukaryota; Metazoa; Chordata; Aves; Galliformes; Phasianidae
Source: Ensembl
GCAGCACUUAGGGGCAGUUUAUAUCAGCCUGCAAGAUAAAACACCUGGGCUAGUAUUGCCAGAGGAGCUGUAAUACUGUGCAAGGAGUACAAUCAGGUCCACAUUGGACACUGUGAAAUAGCAGUAUUCUCUUUUUUCCUCUGUCUGCCCAAGCCCAGAAUUGAAUUGAUUCUGGGGCUUUCAUGAAAUGCCAGCUGCUGGGAGCACAAACCAAAAGCAGACCUGGAAAGAGCAGAAACUGGACCAGAAGCUUUUACUUUCUCUAUACACAGCAUGUAGUUGCACUGAGGUGGGAAGAUGAAGUCAUUUUUCAAACCCUAAUUGGCAACAGUGGACAGGAGAAAGCCUGCAGAACAUAACCCAAGCAAGUCACUGAAGAUUCAGGCUUCAUUUGUGAACAGAACAAGCACAGACCAGGCUGAGGAGUGCCUGAGAGCCACUACUGCACAGAAGCACAACUGGACCCUGACAACAGCAUCACUGCCCAAGGAGCACUCAUUUCAAACAUCACUGAGUUUACAAAACUUGGGGGAAACUUACCUGACUUUGACUCUUCCUGCUGUGCCAAAGAUGACCAGGAGUUCAGUGGUGCAGUCAGCUGGAGAAAGAUGGUGAUGUAAAAAAUGCAGGAUUGUAGUAAAAAAUGUGAAGACCUGGAAGCAAAUAAAAAACUUUCUUCUGCUGGGGAAAACACAUCUACACAGAAUAGUCUUGGCUUUUUCUGUGAAAACAAAAAGAACUUGAAAAAUAAAAAGAGCACUCUCUCCCUUUAAGCUUGCCUUGCAACUAGCCACAGUUUUUACUCAAUUUUUUCUGCUUUAUAGCAAAAAAGAAAAAACCACUGACAGCGAUGUUUCUUACUACUUUUUUUUUUAAUAUAAAGUUAACUGAAGGGAUGAAAAAAUGGAAUCUGGAAUUCAUAGCUCCUGACCCUUUUAAAGCAGCUUUUGUCGAGAUAACACAGCUAAGAGUAAAAGAAGUCAGGCUAGGGGGCAAGGUUGGCUCAUAGCCAUACAAGUUUGAACACUUCUUAGACAGCAG